GAUGAACGCUGGCGGCGUGCCUAAUACAUGCAAGUCGAGCGAACAGAUAAGGAGCUUGCUCCUUUGACGUUAGCGGCGGACGGGUGAGUAACACGUGGGUAACCUACCUAUAAGACUGGGAUAACUUCGGGAAACCGGAGCUAAUACCGGAUAACAUUUGGAACCGCAUGGUUCUAAAGUGAAAGAUGGUUUUGCUAUCACUUAUAGAUGGACCCGCGCCGUAUUAGCUAGUUGGUAAGGUAACGGCUUACCAAGGCAACGAUACGUAGCCGACCUGAGAGGGUGAUCGGCCACACUGGAACUGAGACACGGUCCAGACUCCUACGGGAGGCAGCAGUAGGGAAUAUUCCGCAAUGGGCGAAAGCCUGACGGAGCAACGCCGCGUGAGUGAUGAAGGGGUUCGGCUCGUAAAACUCUGUUAUUAGGGAAGAACAAACGUGUAAGUAACUGUGCACGUCUUGACGGUACCUAAUCAGAAAGCCACGGCUAACUACGUG
RNAcentral lists this ribosomal RNA (497 nucleotides) under uncultured bacterium. Its description in RNAcentral is "partial 16S ribosomal RNA". It matches the Rfam family "Bacterial small subunit ribosomal RNA", at positions 28 to 507 of the family's 1533-position model. The record is from RNAcentral.